This 497-nucleotide ribosomal RNA is filed under the name uncultured bacterium. RNAcentral's name for it is "partial 16S ribosomal RNA". It matches the Rfam family "Bacterial small subunit ribosomal RNA", at positions 28 to 507 of the family's 1533-position model. The record is from RNAcentral.
GAUGAACGCUGGCGGCGUGCCUAAUACAUGCAAGUAGAACGCUGAAGGAAGGAGCUUGCUCUUUCCGGAUGAGUUGCGAACGGGUGAGUAACGCGUAGGUAACCUGCCUGGUAGCGGGGGAUAACUAUUGGAAACGAUAGCUAAUACCGCAUAACAGUAGAUGUUGCAUGAUAUCUACUUAAAAGGUGCAAUUGCACCACUACCAGAUGGACCUGCGUUGUAUUAGCUAGUUGGUGAGGUAACGGCUCACCAAGGCGACGAUACAUAGCCGACCUGAGAGGGUGAUCGGCCACACUGGGACUGAGACACGGCCCAGACUCCUACGGGAGGCAGCAGUAGGGAAUCUUCGGCAAGGGACGGAAGUCUGACCGAGCAACGCCGCGGGAGUGAAGAAGGUUUUCGGAUCGUAAAGCUCUGUUGUAAGAGAAGAACGAGUGUGAGAGUGGAAAGUUCACACUGUGACGGUAUCUUACCAGAAAGGGACGGCUAACUACGUG